Molecule: long non-coding RNA, 2295 nt
Filed under: Homo sapiens (human)
Lineage: Eukaryota; Metazoa; Chordata; Mammalia; Primates; Hominidae
Description: HSALNT0174157
Source: RNAcentral
CUUUGGGUCCCCUCCCUUUGUAUGGGAGCUCUGUUUUCACUCUAUUAAAUCUUGCAACUGCACUGUCUUCUGGUCCAUGUUUGUUACUGCUCGAGCUGAGCUUUCGCUCCCCGUCCACCACUGCCGUUUGCUACCGUGGCAGACCUGCCGCUGACUUCCAACCCUCCAGAUCCAGCAGGGUGUCUGCUGUGCUCCUGAUCCAGCGAGGCGCCCAUUGCUGCUCCAAAUCGGGCUAAAGGCUUGCCAUCAUUCCUGCACGGUUAAGUGCCCGGGUUGGUCGUAAUCGAGCUGAACACUUGUCACUGGGUUCCACGGUUCUCUUCCGUGACCCAUGGCUUCUAAUAGAGCUAUAAAACUCACCGCAUGGCCCAAGAUUCCAUUCUUUGGAAUCCGUGAGGCCAAGAACCCCAGGUCAGAGAACACGAGGCUUGCCACCAUGUUGGAAGCGACCUGCCGCCAUUUUGGAAGCAGCCCACCAUCAUCUUGGGAGCUCUGGGAGCAAGGACCCCUGUUGGAGGCAGCAUGCCUGCUUCAGCCCAGCCUGGCUACCAGGCUGAAGGAACCAACACACAGAGGACUAAAGCAGAGACGAUGAACCCAAGUUGAUGCUCAACCCUGCUACCUUUGGCACCCUGGUUGGAAAGCUCUGAGGAUCUGGAGGAGGAAGCAGGCAGGCCCUGGGUCUACUGGCAACCAUCUUGUGAUCAUGAGUUGAGACUAUAUUACCAGGAAAUGAUCCCUACAGAAGGCAGAGUGCAGAGAGGAAGAAAACAAUCUGAGGACAUUAUUGAGUGCUGUAUUAAGCGCAGCAAAUUACAUGGGCCAAUAAAUACCUUUUCUUUCUUAAGCCUGUUGUUAUAACUGAAUGCAUCCUACUAUAAUGGUUAGAAAAUAAAAUAUUUUUAAAAUAGGCCUCUGUUACUUUUUUAACUUUACAGAAAUAACUAAAAGCAAACAACAACAUCAAAACUCAAAGAAUUAUUUUUUAAAAUUCCAUAAUAAGAACUGUAAAAAAUAGGAGAAACUUUCUUUCUAACAGGAGCCUAUUUCUAGAAACCAAUUAAAUCAUUACAAGUAAUAACAAUUUCUCUUUACAGAGUACCACAUGCCAAGCCAUGUACUAAGCAUAUUAUAUGCAGUAUCUCAUUUAAUCCACACAACAAUCUCAAGAGGGUUCUAUAAAUAUCCUCAUUUUACAGAUGAGGAAACAAAGAUUCCAAGAAUUUAAAUAAUUUGUUUAAUGUUGCACAGUAAGAAAAAGACUAAACAAAGAUUGAGUCCUGAUCAUCUAACUCUGAAACACCUACUCUAUACCAGUUCACACUCUGCCUUUCUAAGCAAGUAGCAUGCAUAGCUCUAAUCCGUACACCACCUUACCAGGUAGGGCUUACAGCAGAUGAGGAAAUUAACACUCACAGACAUUAUGUAACAUGAGGGAGGUCCCACAGCUAGCUAGUAAUUAUACAAAAAGAUAAGCCACAGGGCACAGAGCGUCGUCUCAGAGAUUAACAGGCAAGAUGAUGAAUACAUGGAAAAAGCCACCAAAGCUUGGCACUCAAAGAGCCCUUAAAGAUUCCCAGUUCAUAAAAAAAAAUUAGCUGCGUGUGGCGGCAGGCACCUGUAAUCCCAGUUACUCGGGAGGCUGAGGCAGGAGAAUCGCUUGAACCCGGGAGGCAGAGAUUGCACUGAGCCGAGAUCGCACCACUGCACUCCAGCCUGGACGACAGAGUGAGACUCCAUCUCAAAAAAAAAAAAAAAAAAAAAAGAUUCCCAGUUCAUCACCUUCUUUUUGUUCUUGAAGAACUGAGACCCAGAGACAUUUCUUAUCUUGCCCAGGGCAACACAGCCAGUAGGGGCAGAGGUACGACGACACAAGUCUUUGUUAAUCAACAUGUUUUUCUAAUACACAAGACUGCCUUUGAUGAACUGCAUUUGCAGGGCACCUGCUGAAUACACUUGAUAUGGGAACUUUUUCCUGUCUUAAUGGAGUAGAUCCAGCCUCCAGUACCUGUUUGUCUUAAUAGAGUCCCCUAAUUUUCCCUACAGAAACAACCUCUUUCCUCCUGCGUGCAGCCUUGAGAGGGCUGGUAAAUCCCCCUCCCCUGGACAUGCGACUUCAGUCACAACAAUUGAAAUUUCUCUCCUGGGAAUUUGUAAUUUGUCUAUGCUUUAUUUUGAUAAUAAAUCUUUGUUUUCCCCCAAGGAAUUUGGAAUCGAUUUCCAUUGUCCACAACCUAAGAACCUAUAACACUUAAGGCCUUUUUCAGUUGCAAGUGUUAGGAAACCCAAGCCAAA